This 27-nucleotide non-coding RNA is filed under the name Mus musculus (house mouse). Lineage: Eukaryota; Metazoa; Chordata; Mammalia; Rodentia; Muridae. The record is from RNAcentral.
UGUGUGCUCUCCAGGAAACCUCAAACU